This 435-nucleotide ribosomal RNA is filed under the name uncultured bacterium. Its description in RNAcentral is "partial 16S ribosomal RNA". It matches the Rfam family "Bacterial small subunit ribosomal RNA", at positions 29 to 507 of the family's 1533-position model. The record is from RNAcentral.
AGCGAACGCUGGCGGCAGGCUUAACACAUGCAAGUCGAACGGGCAUCUUCGGAUGUCAGUGGCAGACGGGUGAGUAACACGUGGGAACGUACCCUUCGGUUCGGAAUAACUCAGGGAAACUUGAGCUAAUACCGGAUACGCCCUUUUGGGGAAAGGUUUACUGCCGAAGGAUCGGCCCGCGUCUGAUUAGCUUGUUGGUGGGGUAACGGCCUACCAAGGCGACGAUCAGUAGCUGGUCUGAGAGGAUGAUCAGCCACACUGGGACUGAGACACGGCCCAGACUCCUACGGGAGGCAGCAGUGGGGAAUAUAGGACAAUGGGCGCAAGCCUGAUCCAGCUAUGCCGCGUGAGUGAUGAAGGCCUUAGGGUUGUAAAGCUCUUUUGUCCGGGACGAUAAUGACGGUACCGGAAGAAUAAGCCCCGGCUAACUUCGUG